Long non-coding RNA from Zea mays, 692 nucleotides. RefSeq lists it as uncharacterized. The transcript has 2 exons. NCBI's taxonomy places the organism in Eukaryota, Viridiplantae, Streptophyta, Magnoliopsida, Poales, Poaceae. The record is from RefSeq and is a predicted model, not a curated record.
GUGUGUCCUCUACAGCCGGUCAAUAGAGACUGGAUUGGGCUUAACCCAACUAUCGUUCCUUUAAUCGGGCCCUUGAUCGGGAGGGCCCACGCUAACCUCGGUUGGAGCCCCCAGACACACGACGCUAUAUAUAGGACUAAGGGGUCGCAGGAAAGACUAACGCUAGUACCUCGCCCCAAAACCCUAGUCCUCAGAGGCCCCCAUCGCCUAGGCGUCGGAGUGUUUGGAAAUGCGACAACCUACAGCGGCUCGGAUCCCAAUGCCUGCUGCUUCUCUGCAGGGCGACGAUAUGAAGAUAGCAACAGCAACAAAGAUUGCUAGUGAAGCAUUCCGUCAAACACCCACCGCAUGAAAGUAAUUAGUCUGCAGCUAGGAGAUGGAGUGCAUACGGAAGAACUCGUCUCAACUAAGAACAGAAAAGCACAUAUGCCAUCCAACUCUACCUCAUCACCAGGACGCAUACACACAAUCUCCACUGCGGAAAUUUCACGGCGACCAGAACAGUGUAUUUUCCCAGCAUACAUAAAUGAUAUACAUCUACUCUUUCUUCCCUGUUGGAGCAACUGGAAUACAGAAAACUUGCCCUUAACGACGACGGCAUAUGGCAUCACCGGGAGAGAUUUCUCCGACAGGGAUGCUGUUGCACGCGGGGCAUAUCCUUUUUGAGUGCAAAAUCAACACUCAAAAUUCUA